AAACCAUGAUGGGGGCAAAGCCUAAGCAUUUCUUUGAAACGCUCCCACGCAUCGUAAAGAGAUUGACCAUCUUUUUGAGUGU
This 82-nucleotide small nucleolar RNA is filed under the name Medicago truncatula (barrel medic). Its description in RNAcentral is "snoRNA gene10441". It matches the Rfam family "Plant small nucleolar RNA R71". Rfam says of the family: R71 is a member of the C/D box family of snoRNAs containing the C (UGAUGA) and D (CUGA) box motifs. Multiple nearly identical copies of this snoRNA have been identified in Arabidopsis, and it is thought to function as a 2'-O-ribose methylation guide for 18S ribosomal RNA. Lineage: Eukaryota; Viridiplantae; Streptophyta; Magnoliopsida; Fabales; Fabaceae. The record is from Rfam by way of RNAcentral.